Venturia canescens is the source of this 3254-nucleotide long non-coding RNA. RefSeq lists it as uncharacterized. The record is from RefSeq and is a predicted model, not a curated record. NCBI's taxonomy places the organism in Eukaryota, Metazoa, Arthropoda, Insecta, Hymenoptera, Ichneumonidae. The transcript has 11 exons.
UAAACUUGUGUGCACGUUUCAUGAAAUUCUUCGCCUUCGAAGUUGUUCCGGGAACAAAGAUUUGAAAAAUCUGAAGCGAAAAGUCUCCGGGCAUUUUUAUCUGGGACGAACCGUUGAAGAGAAAUUUACUGAUUUUGUGGACAGCCAAUGGGACGCUGCGACGCCGAAGCUUCGGCGGGCCCCGCCCAUCACGUGGUCAUGCGCUCCUUCCCCCUCCACGCGACCCCCCAACGCAGCGUGGAGCAACGAAUAUCUCGAGAACUACGCAGCGGACAGAAAAAUCAUCCCCCCAGUCAGAAGAGCCUGGAGUAACAAAAUGUUCGUCAUGUGUGACCGACGCUCUUGACAUGUGGGUCAAACUCGCGACGUAUACGACGUGUGCGCGCGCCCACCACCUGGAGCCUCGGACUGUACUUCUUUAUGUUGCAGGCUCCAAGUCCGGAGCGUAAGCGAGCGAGCCUUUCUCGAAGCACGGGUUUGUAAGAAAAUUGAUAAAGUGGGUCAUGUCGAGGUGAGAUAUUUCGGGGACAAUUUUACAUCGUAAAAUGUUUGUUUAGUAAAAAAGUGUUUGAUUUUUUGUUACAAUUUAAUUAUGAAAUGAAGCGAAUGAUAAUAAAAAUAAUUCGGUGAAAAAUUUAUCCCCAAAAUGGUGUUUUCUCUGUACGAAAGAGUGAGUAAAAAAUGAGGUUGUUCUCUUUUGGUUCUCGGUUCGCUUUGGUAAAUUCGAGCUCAAGAUUAAACUUUUUAACGAGAACAUAAAAUCCCGGGCACGUGUACACGCGUGCUCGUGUUUUUUGGCGAAUAAUCAAGAAAUAAGAAAAGCACAUGGACGCCGAGGAGUAAUGGGACGAGGAUGUUGAUGACAUUGUGGCGUGUGGGGCAUAAUGAACGUGCUCUUAAGAAUCCUGCGUACACGAAGACGAAUAAAAAGUAAAACAAAGCCGAAGAAGAGGAUGAAGUGAGGCAUCGAGGCUACGGCCCAGAAAGCAGAGACUGAGAGUCCCCCUCCGGGGCAUUAGCGAGCUCAACAGGCCCACUUUGCGUGGGAGCAUAUCGCCCAAGGACUUGGCUUCGUACCUACGCCUCUAUAUGCACUCUCGAGACAUGGAUAAAUGACUGUUUAUAACUCCUCUUCUGGGUAUGCGUGCCUACAAAAUAAUGAAAACAUUGAGAAUGUCAUUUUAUUCAUUGUAGUAGCCUUCGGAAUGGGAAAAAAAUGAUAAAAUUUUGAGUAUUCCAUUGGAAGAUAUCGACAAGAUGGAAAAAUCGUGAAUACAAGCAAGUGGGUUAAAAAUAAUUCAUUCACAAAAUAUCGAGAGUUGAGAUGCGGCGAGCCCUGGCUUGGAAUUUCGGACGCCUUUUUCCCUCAUCGCGCCACGAGCGUCGACCAAGAGCUGAAAAUUGCUGUGGAAGUUUGUCUACCCUGAUUUUUCGGAUACAACUCAUUCUCACAGUCAACUUGCAUCGCGCGCAGCUGCAGUGAUUUGAAUUUAGAGUAUCCACUAUCGUAAAAAUGCUUCUGGAAUCGCGCUUUGUCCGUUGGCGAUGAAUCAACGGUACAUUGGGCGUUGAUCCUCUCUCGCUUUCCCUCUCUCUCUCUCUCUCUCUCUCUCUCUCUCUCUCUCUGGCUCUCCCUUUGUUUUUAGGACACGAAUUUAUCUCGUGAGGAGAUCAGAGGAAAGCCUUUGGAACACGUGCUCUUCCCUUUUGCACAUGACUCCGCAAUGGCGAUUUCGUUCUUCAUCCAAGCAUUUUGGAAUCUCAUAUAAAACGCUACGAUUUUCUGUGAUGAAAGGGAAAUUAUGCAACGGGGCGUUAAUUCACGGGCGCGUUUCUCUGCCACUGAGCGCGUGAUUCGAGACGCGCGCGGAACGAAACGAACCGAAGAGGAGCAUAUAUUUGGACGCAAUGACAAAUGCGCUUGGUCAAAUUCGGUUUUGAUACUUUCUCGACGAAGUUCCUUUGCGGAAAAUAUUAGUCCGAUUGUUCGAGUGGAAUCGCUGGAGGACGUGCGAAAAUGAUUAACGGGGAGCGCCACAAGGGAAAGAAACGUCAGGUGUUUGAAUAUGGUUAAACAAGUUCGAGUGAGUCGAACCGUUACACUCGGCAGGCAAAGGUUUUAAUGAGUUACUUUGUUGCUUUGAUAUUGAAGAGAUAUUGAACGGAUUGAGACAACGGCCAAGAUCAGUAUAUAAAGCGAUUUUUUCCAUUGGAAUGUCACAUCUACGCGAAAUUUCCUUCACGAAAGGUCUGACUGUGAGAAAUUGUGCUUGGAGAUUCAUCGUUUCUACAUUCCACUCCGCUACAGUUGCAAAUCCGUUCACAUCUGUCAAUUAAUUCGCCAUGCGUUCUUCACUGUUCUUUCUCAUGGUUCUGGCUGUGUUUGCAGUAAAAAGCGUGUAUACAGUUGAGUAUGGUCAUGAACAAUGUAGGCAGCAUGGUUAUGUAGGAGCGUGUAACUACAAUGGAAUUUCAGUGGUACGAAGGGACGAAAGGUGCCAAAAUUUCAAAUGUGCUUCUCAAAUAUCAGGGAAUACAUAUAGAUACAAGGGCAUUGGACCCGCUGCGAUUGGGACCAAGUGUGGUCCGAAUCAUAUUUGUAAUAUAGAGAACAGGUGUGUAGCUGACUCUAACGCAGAACGGUCACAUUAUUUGAAUUGUUCUUAAAAGAGUUCAGAAACGACGGUCAAGAGACGGCAUCGUAUAUGAAAGUUUGCCCGGUGUAUUUGUUAUUCUGUUGACCGCACAAGCGACUACUCAUUUUUGAUGGAUUUUUAAUCGUAUAUUUAUUCAAUGUUUUUUCUAAUCGAGAGUCGUGAAAUAAAAAAAAAAAAAAAAAAACUGAAUGUGCUGUAAUUUGAGUAAUUUUGUCGUCGACGCGGCGCCUAAUUUUUUCCCUCAAAAACGAGCUCCAUUUAAACAACAGGAAAAAAUUGUCGUAUUUCAAUUUUCACAGUACAUUCCUAACAUAGUAGAGGACAUUGAAAUAGGCGGGAAUAGCAGUCCGAAGAUCCUCAAUGGUUACUAUUGGUUGAAAAAUAUUUCGAUAUUCUUACCAUCUUGAGAUCAGUCAAAAGAGUAACAAUUCCCGUUCUUGAUUCGUUCACUCAAUUUUUCCGUAAGCAUUCGUUCGUACAGCAGCGCAUUCUGUGCAGCGAUUGUUCAUGUUUACGAUUUCAAAUGAAUGUAGUCGAUACUAACGGGGACCCCUGAAACUCAACCGAAUAAAGUUUGCCGAUUUUUCGUCAGCAGUA